This 27-nucleotide transfer RNA is filed under the name Vireo hypochryseus (golden vireo). Its description in RNAcentral is "partial tRNA-Trp". Lineage: Eukaryota; Metazoa; Chordata; Aves; Passeriformes; Vireonidae. The record is from RNAcentral.
GAAACUUAGGAUUACUUAAACCGAAGG